Molecule: transfer RNA, 73 nt
Filed under: Eurytemora carolleeae
Lineage: Eukaryota; Metazoa; Arthropoda; Copepoda; Calanoida; Temoridae
Description: transfer RNA arginine (anticodon CCU)
Rfam family: tRNA
About the family: Transfer RNA (tRNA) molecules are approximately 80 nucleotides in length.
Source: RNAcentral
GCCCGCGUGGCCCAAUGGAUAAGGCGUCGGUCUCCUAAACCGAAGAUUGGGGGUUCGAGUCCCCCCGUGGGUA